Canis lupus familiaris (dog) is the source of this 401-nucleotide long non-coding RNA. RefSeq lists it as uncharacterized. The record is from RefSeq and is a predicted model, not a curated record. The transcript is spliced from 2 exons. Lineage: Eukaryota; Metazoa; Chordata; Mammalia; Carnivora; Canidae.
UGCAGGAUUACUUCUCUAUGAACCCCCAGACCGAUGCAGGCAUGGGACAACAGACCCUUCCCAGUUAUUCUCCUUAGUAUGAAGGUCAACCACAAUUAUGUCUUACAUGGAUCACACAAACCUCCUUCCUCCAACUCCAGAGCAUGUGGUAGCUCCCUGCCCUGUUGGAAGGUCCAGCUGGCUCACUCUUGCCACCUGUGAAGACCAUCUGCAAAUCCAAAUAGUGUAAUGCAGGAAACACUGACCCAUGAAGAGUGAGAAUGGGUGUAGACCUGGCGGUGAUGGCAGUACCAAAAUGGGUGCUUUCCUUGGAAUUCUUGGGUGAAAACUUAGCAGAUAAAUAUUAAUAGCUUCCUAAAUGCAGAAUUUCAACAGUUUAUAAAGAUUGCACAUGAAAGUGA